Molecule: ribosomal RNA, 252 nt
Filed under: uncultured bacterium
Lineage: Bacteria
Description: partial 16S ribosomal RNA
Rfam family: Bacterial small subunit ribosomal RNA
Source: RNAcentral
ACGUAGGGUGCGAGCGUUGCCCGGAUUUAUUGGGCGUAAAGGGCGCGCAGGCGGCUACGCACGUCCGUUGUGAAAUCGCUCGGCUCAACUGGGCGGGGUCAGCGGAUACGGCGUGGCUGGAGCAAGCUAGGGGGCAAUGGAAUUCCCGGUGUAGUGGUGGAAUGCGUAGAUAUCGGUAGGAACACCAGUGGCGAAGGCGGUUGCCUGGAGCUUUGCUGACGCUGAGGCGCGAAAGCGUGGGGAGCGAUCCGG